UGGGGAAUUUUGCGCAAUGGGGGAAACCCUGACGCAGCAACGCCGCGUGGAGGAUGAAGCCCCUUGGGGCGUAAACUCCUUUCGAUCGGGACGAUUAUGACGGUACCGGAUGAAGAAGUACCGGCUAACUCUGUGCCAGCAGCCGCGGUAAUACAGAGGGUGCGAGCGUUGUUCGGAAUUAUUGGGCGUAAAGGGCGCGUAGGCGGUGCGGUAAGUCACCUGUGAAACCUCUGGGCUUAACUCAGAGCCUGCAGGCGAAACUACCGUGCUGGAGUGUGGGAGAGGUGCGUGGAAUUCCCGGUGUAGCGGUGGAAUGCGUAGAUAUCGGGAGGAACACCUGUGGCGAAAGCGGCGCACUGGACCACAACUGACGCUGAGGCGCGAAAGCAUGGGGAGCGAAC
This 401-nucleotide ribosomal RNA is filed under the name uncultured bacterium. Its description in RNAcentral is "bacterial SSU rRNA". It matches the Rfam family "Bacterial small subunit ribosomal RNA", at positions 355 to 773 of the family's 1533-position model. The record is from RNAcentral.